AUGACAUGGAGGUGCAACCAUCAUACAAAUGCCCUGCUAUGGAUGAGAACAAUGAAACUUUGGUCCAUGAUGAAAAUGUGCACCAACAGAGGAAAAACACUAGUGCAGAUAAGGGUUCUUUGGGUCACAAGUCUACAUCUCAAGAUGCUCUCUGUGUUGGCAAGACAAAUUCAAAACAAAAAACAGAGAGUAUAUAGCGACAGCCAUAGUCAACAACUUGGUAACGUUGGGCAGAAUAAUAAUGUGAUGAGCAAGGAAAACUUUCUCUAUGACAUGGAGAUGCAACCAUCAAACAAACGUCCUUCUAAGGAUAAGAACAAAGAUACUUCUAUCCAUGAUGAAAAUGUGCAACAAGAGAAGGAAAACUCUAGUGCAAAUAAGCAUGGUGGCCAGAACAUUAGUAAAGUCUCAAGAGGAGGUAAUGCAACAAAGCAUGCCAAUAAACAACAGUGCGGUGCAACAAAUUGCCUGGGUGCCGACUCGAUAGAUGUUGGCACUAUAGUAUUUUUCAAGAGCUUGGGAAAUCCAAACAAGAAUGUUGCUCUUGGUACACUCCAAAGCACUAACCCAGAAUAUAAAGUUGAGGGUGUUCAUCUUGGUAAUCAAUUCUGGGCAGUGCGAAUUGAUGCUACAUUAGCAAAAUCAGAUCAGUUGAUACGACCUCUAAAAAAGGUCAACAUUAUUGGUCAUGCAGCAGGAUUAAUUAUCGCAUGGCCAUCAACCUUUAUUGCUAAGAUAAAUUGA
Molecule: ribosomal RNA, 744 nt
Filed under: Triticum aestivum (bread wheat)
Lineage: Eukaryota; Viridiplantae; Streptophyta; Magnoliopsida; Poales; Poaceae
Description: partial small subunit ribosomal RNA
Source: RNAcentral